CAACUCUAUGGCGGUGGAUCACUCGGCUCGU
This 31-nucleotide ribosomal RNA is filed under the name Mercenaria mercenaria. RNAcentral's name for it is "partial 5.8S ribosomal RNA". The record is from RNAcentral. Lineage: Eukaryota; Metazoa; Mollusca; Bivalvia; Venerida; Veneridae.